Molecule: long non-coding RNA, 1014 nt
Filed under: Struthio camelus australis
Lineage: Eukaryota; Metazoa; Chordata; Aves; Struthioniformes; Struthionidae
Description: lncRNA (ENSSCUG00000007270.1)
Source: RNAcentral
UCCCGGUGCCGCUGCCGGCCUCCCGCAGCGCCGCCCUCCUCCCGCGCCUAUUUACAGGAGGGCCCAUAUUUAGGAACCUAUAUUUACACCUCCUACUCUUACACCCACUCAUUUAUUUGUUAAUUUGGCACCCAGGGUCAGAUUUUAGAGGCUCAGAAGUGGUUCUGGUGGUGUGCGUCCCAAACACGUCCAGGCUAUAAUUUCUGUGUCCGGUUACUGUGUUGUGUACGGCUAACUGUAACUGAGGUUGUUUUGGGAUUGCUCCCCUUCCUGUGUAGUUGCUGCCGCAGGAACUGCAGGCAAGUGGGAUGGAGCAGGAAACUCAGAGCUGACUUCUUUUCUGCAUGGCCCCUUGGGGCUGCUGCUUAGCACAGUUGCAUCCUCCCUGACCCCUGGACCGCACCACCACCAGGGCAGAAACAUCUCUACUGCAGCCAGCACAGAGAGGCCUGACAGCGCAGAAGAACUUUGUACUCACAGCAUGCAUGACAGGAGCAAUUUGCAUCCUGCUCAACACAGACUUCAGGAUGAUGCAGAAUGGGAAAAGGAGAUGCGUUCUCAGGGUCAUUAUAGCAGUCCUGCCCUCCUGCUGGGGGUGGGCCAGUUUUUGAUGGGAGUUGCAGGAGUCUUUGAUAUGCUCUCAAACUAGACAAAGGCAAACUGUGGAUGGAGCCACAGGCCUCUUGAUGCACGUGCCCAGAGGCAUGGGCUGUGCUCCAUGGAGAGGAGCAGCUGAAGUGGCUGCAGCCACCCUGUCCCCUGCCAGGGGCUCUGAGCAGGGACCCGCUGGGCUCAGCAGGUGAAGGCCACUUCUAACUCACAAAACUCUAUGGAGAAAGGACAAGGGCAGAUGGGGGGGGGGCAGUUACUCUCAACCUUAAGAGGCCCUUUCUUGCCCUUUGCCUCUUGAACACCUCUUCUGCAUGGCUUUUCCGAGGGGCUUUCUUUCUUCCUGGGCAGUGACUCAAUCUGCUCGUUCUCUGCAGAAGUCCUGCCCUCUGCACUGAGAGCACU